GACGAACGCUGGCGGCGUGCUUAACACAUGCAAGUCGAACGGUAAGGCCCUUCGGGCUACACGAUCGGCGAACGGAGGAGUAACACGUGAGUAAUCUGCCUGUCACUUCCUUAUAACUCCGGGAAACCGGAGCGAAUACCAAAUAAGACCACUUCAUGCAUCAGGUGGUGGUGGAAAGUUUCUUCGGUGAUGGAUGGGCUCGCGGCCCAUCAGCUUGUUGGGGGGGUAGUGGCCUACCAAGGCCUCGACGGGUAGCCGGCCUGGGAGGGUGACCGGCCACAAUGGGACUGAGACACGGCCCAGACUCCUACGGGAGGCAGCAGUGGGGAAUAUUGGACAAUGGGCGAAAGCCUGAUCCAGCAACGCCGCGUGAGGGAUGACGGCCUUCGGGUUGUAAACCUCUUUCGGCAGGGACGAAGCGCAAGUGACGGUACCUACAGAAGAAGCACCGGCCAACUACGUG
Molecule: ribosomal RNA, 463 nt
Filed under: uncultured bacterium
Lineage: Bacteria
Description: partial 16S ribosomal RNA
Rfam family: Bacterial small subunit ribosomal RNA
Source: RNAcentral